Molecule: ribosomal RNA, 331 nt
Filed under: uncultured eukaryote
Lineage: Eukaryota
Description: partial 18S ribosomal RNA
Rfam family: Eukaryotic small subunit ribosomal RNA
Source: RNAcentral
CCCUUAGAUGUUCUGGGCUGCACGCGCGCUACACUGAUGCAUUCAACAAGUGUUACCUUGGCCGAGAGGUCUGGGAAAUCUUCUGAAUAUGCAUCGUGAUAGGGAUAGAUUAUUGCAAUUAUUAAUCUUGAACGAGGAAUUCCUAGUAAAUGCAGAUCAUCAUUCUGCGUUGAUUACGUCCCUGCCCUUUGUACACACCGCCCGUCGCACCUACCGAUUGAAUGGUUUAGUGAGACCCUCGGAUUCGUCCCAGCACAGUGGGUUUCUGCUGAGCUGGUGCGCGGAGAAGACGGUCGAACUUGAUCAUUUAGAGGAAGUAAAAGUCGUAACA